This is a long non-coding RNA of Schistocerca nitens (vagrant locust), 735 nucleotides long. RefSeq lists it as uncharacterized. NCBI's taxonomy places the organism in Eukaryota, Metazoa, Arthropoda, Insecta, Orthoptera, Acrididae. The record is from RefSeq and is a predicted model, not a curated record. The transcript has 2 exons.
GUCAUCUCCAUGACCUCCAUGGAGUGAUAUCUACGCAGCCGUGUCAAUGAUCUUAGUUGUGUAGUCAGAGAUGUGAAAUACGCGUGUGGUGUGGUAUAUUAUGAGAGUCUUUGAAGUUAAGGGAACGUGUAUUUGUAUUUAGGAGAUUUUGGCUUGCAGCAUAGUCGCUGAUGUUGAUGUUUAGUGGAAGGUAGCGCAGUGCUGUCAGCUUCGAAAUGAUUCAGUCACUUUGGAAAUUUAUCAGUUAUUGGUAUUUCAGAUAUUUAAUGGUGACUGAAUUGUACAUGGUAGAGAGGUGGGAGAGAGCAGUCAUAAAUGUUGCCAUACUUGUGGUAUUUCUAAUGCUAUCAUAUUUCAAUUAUGCUGUUCUGCUUUAUGCCACAUCAUCAAUUGUGAGAUACACUUUAGUUUAAUGCUCGGACAUAUGCACAGUGCUGCCUUUUUAUUUUGUGUUAUAAGCAUAGUGUCUCAACAUGAAAGUGGGAUAUCAGUUUACACAAAAUUAUAAAGGUCACUGAAAUUUAUUUUCAGUUGUGUAUCCCACGACAAACUACAUGCAUUCCAUACAGUACACGAUAGUCUGAGUAGCCUAUGUCAUUUAUCUUGGUGUACUGUUUAGUUGAAAAGGAAGCUCUGCGAGAAAUUCAGAAUUCUAAAAUUUAUUACUAUGUUAUGAAAGAAAUGUGUAUUUUGCAAUAUGCUACUUAUUAAUAAUAAACAAUGGACUUUUAUAUA